Molecule: long non-coding RNA, 695 nt
Organism: Camponotus floridanus (Florida carpenter ant)
Lineage: Eukaryota; Metazoa; Arthropoda; Insecta; Hymenoptera; Formicidae
Exons: 5
Source: RefSeq, a predicted model, not a curated record
GGAACGCAGCCCUCGAAGUCGCCAUAUUAUAGUUACAUCACACAAUUUUCGCGCGUUGUUUGGUGUCGUUUAGUACGAUUUGACGCUGUUAAGUAUUCAAGUGAAUUAUUUCAACGAAUUAUUUCACAUAAAAUUAUGAGUUAUAUUAAUUUGAAUGAAGUUAAUUACGCGCGUUAUAGAGAUUAUACAAUUCGCUGAAUCGCAAAAUUAACGAAUAGUGCGCGUUUUAUAAAUGUUUCACUCAUGAUCGAGAUAUGACACAAGAUUUUGCUUCAGAAAUUCGGCUUGAUGAAGGUUAGGAGGUUUAAAAGUUUGAGGCUAUAAAGUUAUACGACAAAGUGGACAAAGUGUACUAUCAUUACUACUGGCAUAAUUCUAAAGGAGAAUAUAGUUUACACCAAAAUACUGUAAUGGAAUUUAAGGAUAGAAAUUCUACAGGAUAAAAAUUCUAACUCUAUUUGUAUCGCAACAUGAAAGGGAAUACAUCGAUUAUAUAUACCAAAAUGCUCUAAUGGAAUUUAAGGAUAGAAAUUCUACAGAAUAAAAAUUCUAACUCUAUUUGCAUCGCAACAUGAAAAGGAAUACAUCGAUUAUAUGAUAUGGAGCAUUGUAUACAGGAUAUAUUGAAAAUAUCUUAGUAUUGUUAAGGUUAACAGUAAUUUUCUGCAUAUCUAUAUUUUUAUGCAUGUUGCCUG